AGCUCCAAUAGCGUAUACUAAAGUUGUUGCAGUUAAAAAGCUCGUAGUUGGAUUUCUGCGCGGGUGGGGCGGCCGGGUGUCUACAAGGCAUCUCGAGCCAGCAACGCCCGCGCAUCCUGCCGCGAUCCACGCUACCAUUCGUUUGGUGGCGUCCUGGGGACCGGCUCGUUUACUUUGAGAAAAUAGAGUGUUCAAAGCAGGCAACUCGCCUUGAAUAAUGUAGCAUGGAAUAAUGAUUAAGGACUUUGGUUCUAUUU
This 257-nucleotide ribosomal RNA is filed under the name uncultured eukaryote. Its description in RNAcentral is "partial small subunit ribosomal RNA". It matches the Rfam family "Eukaryotic small subunit ribosomal RNA", at positions 587 to 841 of the family's 1831-position model. The record is from RNAcentral.